GACGAACGCUGGCGGCGUGCCUAAUACAUGCAAGUCGAACGCAUUUUCUUUCACCGUAGCUUGCUACACCGAAAGAAAGUGAGUGGCGAACGGGUGAGUAACACGUGGGUAACCUGCCCAUCAGCGGGGGAUAACACUUGUAAACAGGUGCUAAUACCGCAUAAUUCCAUUUACCGCAUGGUAGAUGGAUGAAAGGCGCUUUUGCGUCACUGAUGGAUGGACCCGCGGUGCAUUAGCUAGUUGGUGGGGUAACGGCCUACCAAGGCUGCGAUGCAUAGCCGGCCUGGGAGGAUGAUCGGCCAACCUUGGACGGAAACACGGCCCAGACUCCUACGGGAGGCAGCAGUAGGGAAUCUUCGGCAAUGGACGGAAGUCUGAACGAGGAAAGCCGGGGGAGUGAAGAAGGUUUUCGGAUUGUAAAACUCUGUUGUUAGAGGAGAACAAGGAUGAGAGUGGAAAGUUCAUCCCUUGACGGUAUCUAACCAGAAAGCCACGGCUAACUACGUG
This 507-nucleotide ribosomal RNA is filed under the name uncultured bacterium. RNAcentral's name for it is "partial 16S ribosomal RNA". It matches the Rfam family "Bacterial small subunit ribosomal RNA", at positions 28 to 507 of the family's 1533-position model. The record is from RNAcentral.